This is a long non-coding RNA of Dermacentor andersoni, 2784 nucleotides long. RefSeq lists it as uncharacterized. The record is from RefSeq and is a predicted model, not a curated record. NCBI's taxonomy places the organism in Eukaryota, Metazoa, Arthropoda, Arachnida, Ixodida, Ixodidae.
GCUAUGUGCUGUCUUGCCGAGUCGGGUACGAUCAGUGGCGCGUGACGCGUGUGGUGCAGUGUGGUUAUGGUGUGGUGUGCACGGGAUGAGUGCCAACCUUGCCGAUAGCUGGUGUUCGAAGGACGUCACGUCGUAUAACAAGGUGUUAUAUACACCAGCGCAAGCGCCAACACGGACAGAAAGAAAAUGGGGCCAAAGCGUGUACUAAGUGCGGAGGAGAUAGAAGCUCGGAAGAAACGUCGAGCGGAGCAGGAACGUCGUCGUUAUGCAGCGAAGUGUGGCUCCGAACGCGAGCUUCUGUUGGCUCGAAAACGCGAAGCGGAGCGGCGUCGGGUAGCGGCAAUGAGCCCCGAGGAACGUAGCGAACAUUUAGCACAGAAACGCGAAGUGCAAAUGCGUCGAUCCGAUGCCGUGAGGCAGCAGCGGAUCUGGGCCGUAUUCGCCUCGCUAUCGGUGUACUGCAGCACUCACGGAACUCUGCCUGUUGAAUCUACAAAAGCUGUGCAGACAGAGGCCACAGGUUGCUUCAGUGGUAGGAUGGAUGUUGCAGUUGGGACAACAAUCGUUAACAAGGGUGUGUGCCAGUCAACCCAGACAUCGCCUGCUGCUGAGAAGGUGCACAGAUGGGCAGAUACCAUAGACCUUGAUGGCCACGGCAGUGGCCCUCAUGUGCAGGGGAUUUAAGGUUCCAGAUGAGCGGCCUGGUGAUUACAAUGGGCACAGGUCACUGCCUGCUGGACCCACCACAGUCAUGCAAGAGGACAACGCUGCACAAUUCAACCAGAAAGCAGACGUUACUAUUUAUUCCACAUGGUGCAAGGGCAUCUCCAAAGUGACAGAGGCCGCAUUAUACACUCUGAAGGUCUCCACAGGAAUGCAAUCUUAAGAUUUAGGGCAAGUCCUUGAAAAUCCUUGAAGGCAAGUAGCCUUGAAAAAGGCAAGUCCACUUGUCAAAACAUUGGCUCCUGCUUUCACCUUGUUCUUGUUUUCCUCAUUGUCUUGAAUUUCCAUCUGCCUCCCUGUGUUUUCCCCCAAUCCUUCUGUACGCCAAAUUUGCAUACAUGCUGCAGUGCAGAAAUCAACCCGCUCUAAGUCAUUCUGUGUUGUUUAGGUUCACUGUAUAAAGCAUGCUGAACUACAUGCUUCAAUGGGACAGGGACGAUGAACUUCCCCAGAUGCCGAGUGAUUUGCUCUGCAUGCAGAAACCCAUAAACUGACCUGGGACCAUGUGAGCCAGCAAUAGGAUACAGAUUUUCGUCACUUCAACCUCUGCUACCGAGCCAUGAUCUAUCAACCUGGCGACUGAGCCUGGAUGUGGGCCCCUGUGGGAGAGGCCUAAAAGGGAACUCAUUUCCUCUAUUUCUGUCCAGGAAGCUGUUAAUGCGCCAUUUCGGGCCUUAUAAACUCACAAGAUUGGUCAGUGACAUGUACGAGGACUUCUUGGACAGUGUCAUAUCCAUGCAUCAACAGCCUUUUCCUGAAACUGUACCCAUCAUACCCCUCAAGCUCUACUUCACACAUUAGCAUGUUACUUUGUGUGGCACGUUGCGCCUCUUCCAUAUAUUCUCUUUUCAUUGUGUGUGUGUGCGCCUGUUGUUUUCCCAGCUUGACCUGAGGGGUCUCAAAAACAUUUCUCUGUACUGCUCUGACCUGGUGCAUAGGUUUGGAAAAUCGGGUCAGUGCUUCUGGAAAGGCAAUGCCACCUCACGUCAUGAGGCGGCGUAUAGCAGACAAACAAGUACAGGACCUAUGCUCGGUUUCUUACAUGUGCCAUCACGAGAAUGCAAUGGUUUAUACAGACAUAAUAUUGCAGCCCGAUUAGGUGACAGUAUCAUAAAAUUAAGAAAUAGCUGCUGAGCACUUUGUAUGUUUCCAUAUGGUAAAUAUGAUGCCAUGUAUAUUUCUCAUCGUCAUCAUCAUCAGCCUAUUUUCUGUCCUCUGCAGGACGAAGGCUUCUCCCUGUGAUAUCCAAUUACCCUUGUCCUGCGCCAGCCGAUUCCAGCUAGUGCCUGCGAAUUUCUUAAUUUGAUCACCCCACCUAGUCUUCUGUCAUCCUCGACUGCAUUUACCUUCUCUUGGCAUCCAUUCCGUAACCCUUAUGGUCCACCAGUUAUCUAGCCUAUGCAUUACAUGACCUGCCCAGCUUCUUUUCUUUCUCUUAAUGUCAAUUAGAGUAUUGACUAUCCCUGUUUGCUCUCUGAUCCACACCGCUCUCUUUAAUUAAAGAGUUUUUUUAAAAAUUGGCAGAGAAUUCUUCCUUUGGAGAUGAUUGGCAGUGUUAAUUGAUUUGCAAUCUCAUGAUCGGCAUGUGAUUGGUGAUAUGUUUCAUAUGUUAGGGUUAUUAUGAAGAGUGGCACACACCUAGUGACACAUUUCCAGUGACCCGAGUUGGCAUCAGAGAGGUUUAUUGAAGAAUGGCACUUAUGCAGUGACUCAAACUGGCAGUAAACAUGUUCAUUGAUGAGAGGCACAUACCCUCUGGCAAACACCCAGUGACUGAAGUUGGCGCGAAAGAGGUUUAUUGAAUAAUAAGUCAUGCCCGGUGUCACAUAACCAGUGACCCAAGUUGCUGCAGCAGUUGGUUUCAAACUUGGCUCCUCGAGCACAGCAGUCCGAUGCUCUGCCGAUUAGACCGUAGACUACCCAGUGGUUCAACAUGGCAGAAAGAGGUUAGCCGAGGACAGACAUGCAGACAGACAUGUUGCAAGCUGGGUGAUGCUCUCGAAGAAUACUAAUGUUGUUAAAAUUCAAGAUGCACUGAAAUAAAUAUCUGCUGUUUUGAUA